RNAcentral lists this ribosomal RNA (305 nucleotides) under uncultured bacterium. RNAcentral describes it as "bacterial SSU rRNA". It matches the Rfam family "Bacterial small subunit ribosomal RNA", at positions 335 to 656 of the family's 1533-position model. The record is from RNAcentral.
UGUCCUACGGGACGCAGCAGUGGGGGAUAUUGCACAAUGGGGGGAACCCUGAUGCAGCGACGCCGCGUGGGCGAUGGAGUGCUUCGGCAUGUAAAGCCCUAUCAGCAGGGAAGAAGAAAGACGGUACCUGACUAAGAAGCCCCGGCUAACUACGUGCCAGCAGCCGCGGUAAUACGUAGGGGGCAAGCGUUAUCCGGAUUUACUGGGUGUAAAGGGAGCGUAGACGGCAUAGCAAGUCUGAAGUGAAAGCCCGUGGCUCAACCGCGGAACUGCUUUGGAAACUGUUAAGCUGGAGUACUGGAGAG